AAAAGAACACAGGGAUUACCUCAGUAACGGCGAGUGAAGCGGUAACAGCUCAAAUUUGAAAUCUGGCUCUUUCAGGGUCCGAGUUGUAAUUUGUAGAAGAUGUUUCGGGUGUGGCUCCGGUCUAAGUUCCUUGGAACAGGACGUCGUAGAGGGUGAGAAUCCCGUAUGUGACUGGCUGCCUCCGCCCACGUGAAACUCUUUCGACGAGUCGAGUUGUUUGGGAAUGCAGCUCAAAAUGGGUGGUAAAUUUCAUCUAAAGCUAAAUAUUGGCCAGAGACCGAUAGCGCACAAGUAGAGUGAUCGAAAGAUGAAAAGCACUUUGGAAAGAGAGUUAAACAGUACGUGAAAUUGUUGAAAGGGAAGCGCUUGCAAUCAGACUUGCGCGCGGCCGAUCAUCCGGGGUUCUCCCCGGUGCACUCGGUCGCGUUCAGGCCAGCAUCGGUUUGGGUGGUGGGAUAAAGGCCUUGGGAAUGUAGCUUCUUUCGGGGAGUGUUAUAGCCCUCGGUGCAAUGCCGCCUAUCCAGACCGAGGACCGCGCUUCGGCUAGGAUGCUGGCGUAAUGGUUGUAAGCGACCCGUCUUGAAACACGGACCAAGGAGUCUAACACUUAUGCGAGUAUUUGGGUGUCAAACCCAUAUGCGUAAUGAAAGUGAACGGAGGUGAGAACCCUUAAGGGUGCAUCAUCGACCGGUCCUGAUGUCUUCGGAUGGAUCUGAGUAAGAGCAUAAUUGUUAGGACCCGAAAGAAGGUGAACUAUGCCUGAAUAGGGUGAAGCCAGAGGAAACUCUGGUGGAGGCUCGCAGCGGUUCUGACGUGCAAAUCGAUCGUCAAAUUUGGGUAUAGGGGCGAAAGACUAAUCGAACCUUCUAGUAGCUGGUUCCUGCCGAAGUUUCCCUCAGGAUAGCAGUGUUGAAUUCAGUUUUAUGAGGUAAAGCGAAUGAUUGGAGGCCUUGGGGUUGAAACACCCUUAACCUAUUCUCAACUUUAAUAUGUAAAAGUCCUUGUUACUUAUUGA
Molecule: ribosomal RNA, 1015 nt
Filed under: uncultured fungus
Lineage: Eukaryota; Fungi
Description: LSU rRNA
Rfam family: Eukaryotic large subunit ribosomal RNA
Source: RNAcentral